AGGGUAACCGACGGUGGACAUAUCGGAAGUGCGAAUGCUGACAUGAGUAGCGAUAAAGAGGGUGAGAUACCCUCUCGCCGAAAGACCAAGGGUUCCUGCGUAAAGCUAAUCUGCGCAGGGUAAGCCGGCCCCUAAGCCGAGGACGAAAGUCGUAGGCGAUGGGAACCAGGUUAAUAUUCCUGGGCCAGCCAGUAGUGACGGAUCGUGAAGGUUGUUCACCCUUAUUGGAUUGGGUGGGCCGCUAAUCGGUUCCUGGAAAUAGCUCUGGCAUAAGAUCGUACCCUAAACCGACACAGGUGGACUGGCAGAGCAUGCCAAGGCGCUUGAGAGAACGAUGCUGAAGGAACUCGGCAAAUUACCUCCGUAACUUCGG
This 373-nucleotide ribosomal RNA is filed under the name Prymnesium parvum. RNAcentral describes it as "partial Bacterial large subunit ribosomal RNA". It matches the Rfam family "Bacterial large subunit ribosomal RNA", at positions 1260 to 1739 of the family's 2925-position model. Lineage: Eukaryota; Haptophyta; Prymnesiales; Prymnesiaceae. The record is from RNAcentral.